ACUCCUACGGGAGGCAGCAGUGGGGAAUAUUGGACAAUGGGCGCAAGCCUGAUCCAGCCAUGCCGCGUGAGUGAUGAAGGCCUUAGGGUUGUAAAGCUCUUUUAUCCGGGACGAUAAUGACUGUACCAGAGGAAUAAGCCCCGGCUAACUUCGUGCCAGCAGCCGCGGUAAU
Molecule: ribosomal RNA, 172 nt
Filed under: uncultured Methylobacterium sp.
Lineage: Bacteria; Pseudomonadati; Pseudomonadota; Alphaproteobacteria; Hyphomicrobiales; Methylobacteriaceae
Description: partial 16S ribosomal RNA
Rfam family: Bacterial small subunit ribosomal RNA
Source: RNAcentral